AGACCCGAAACCCGGUGAUCUAGCCAUGGGCAGGUUGAAGGUUGGGUAACACUAACUGGAGGACCGAACCGACUAAUGUUGAAAAAUUAGCGGAUGACCUGUGGCUGGGGGUGAAAGGCCAAUCAAACCGGGAGAUAGCUGGUUCUCCCCGAAAGCUAUUUAGGUAGCGCCUCGUGAAUUCAUCUCCGGGGGUAGAGCACUGUUUCGGCUAGGGGGCCAUCCCGGCUUACCAACCCGAUGCAAACUGCGAAUACCGGAGAAUGUUAUCACGGGAGACACACGGCGGGUGCUAACGUCCGUCGUGAAGAGGGAAACAACCCAGACCGCCAGCUAAGGUCCCAAAGUCAUGGUUAAGUGGGAAACGAUGUGGGAAGGCCCAGACAGCCAGGAUGUUGGCUUAGAAGCAGCCAUCAUUUAAAGAAAGCGUAAUAGCUCACUGGUCGAGUCGGCCUGCGCGGAAGAUGUAACGGGGCUAAACCAUGCACCGAAGCUGCGGCAGCGAACGUAUCACCCAAGACAACUUUACGGAGUUGACGAUUGACGGAGCGAAGC
This 552-nucleotide ribosomal RNA is filed under the name Salmonella enterica. RNAcentral's name for it is "partial 23S ribosomal RNA". It matches the Rfam family "Bacterial large subunit ribosomal RNA", at positions 711 to 1220 of the family's 2925-position model. RNAcentral also lists the same sequence under 1 other name. Lineage: Bacteria; Pseudomonadati; Pseudomonadota; Gammaproteobacteria; Enterobacterales; Enterobacteriaceae. The record is from RNAcentral.